Cavia porcellus (domestic guinea pig) is the source of this 454-nucleotide long non-coding RNA. RefSeq lists it as uncharacterized. NCBI's taxonomy places the organism in Eukaryota, Metazoa, Chordata, Mammalia, Rodentia, Caviidae. The transcript has 3 exons. The record is from RefSeq and is a predicted model, not a curated record.
GGGAGGUGUUGUGGAUUUCUCUGUGUUGCUGUGUUGAGUCAUUGGUUUUCCUGGAGGAGCUUAUAACAGCUAGCUUCCCGGGUGUUAGUUCGACCAUUAUCCUCAGAGGAGCUUGGAACCUUGUUGGAGCUCAGGACUUCCAUGUUGCGGAGGACGGCUGUGGUGGCUUUUCAGGACAGCCCUGGUCUUUGUUGACCUCAUCCAGUCCAUGGAAAACGUCAAGAGAAAAAGACUGAGUCCCUUGAAAAUGGAAAAAUUCUUACUUUGGGUUCACUUACAACUCAAGACUACUGCACCCACACUCUGCUCAGUUUCCUUGCUGCUGGCCUGCCUGGCAGAAUUUGGAUUGUCAGCCCCCAUGUUCUUGUGAGCCAAUUUAUUAAGAUAAAUUUCUCCAUAUAAGUACAUAUUGUUGAUUUUCUUUCUUGGGAAAAUACUGACACAAUCAGCAAUG